Molecule: ribosomal RNA, 3047 nt
Filed under: Acinetobacter baumannii
Lineage: Bacteria; Pseudomonadati; Pseudomonadota; Gammaproteobacteria; Moraxellales; Moraxellaceae
Description: bacterial LSU rRNA
Rfam family: Bacterial large subunit ribosomal RNA
Source: RNAcentral
AGUGCAUGUGGUGGAUGCCUUGGCAGUCAGAGGCGAUGAAAGACGUGAUAGCCUGCGAAAAGCUCCGGGGAGGCGGCAAAUAUCCUUUGAUCCGGAGAUGUCUGAAUGGGGGAACCCACCUACUUUAAGGUAGGUAUUGCAACAUGAAUACAUAGUGUUGCAAGGCGAACGAGGGGAAGUGAAACAUCUCAGUACCCUUAGGAAAAGAAAUCAAUUGAGAUUCCCUCAGUAGCGGCGAGCGAACGGGGAUCAGCCCAUUAAGUUAUGUGUGUUUUAGUGGAACGCUCUGGGAAGUGCGAACGUAGAGGGUGAUAUUCCCGUACACGAAAGGGCACACAUAAUGAUGACGAGUAGGGCGAGGCACGUGAAACCUUGUCUGAAUAUGGGGGGACCAUCCUCCAAGGCUAAAUACUCCUGACUGACCGAUAGUGAACCAGUACCGUGAGGGAAAGGCGAAAAGAACCCCUGUGAGGGGAGUGAAAUAGAUCCUGAAACCGCAUGCAUACAAGCAGUGGGAGCACCUUCGUGGUGUGACUGCGUACCUUUUGUAUAAUGGGUCAGCGACUUAUAUUCAGUAGCGAGGUUAACCGUAUAGGGGAGCCGUAGAGAAAUCGAGUCUUAAUAGGGCGUUUAGUUGCUGGGUAUAGACCCGAAACCAGGCGAUCUAUCCAUGAGCAGGUUGAAGGUUGGGUAACACUAACUGGAGGACCGAACCCACUGUCGUUGAAAAGCCAGGGGAUGACUUGUGGAUAGGGGUGAAAGGCUAAUCAAGCCUGGUGAUAGCUGGUUCUCCCCGAAAGCUAUUUAGGUAGCGCCUCGGACGAAUACCAUAGGGGGUAGAGCACUGUUUCGGCUAGGGGGUCAUCCCGACUUACCAAACCGAUGCAAACUCCGAAUACCUAUGAGUACUAUCCGGGAGACAGACUGCGGGUGCUAACGUCCGUAGUCAAGAGGAAAACAAUCCAGACCGCCAGCUAAGGCCCCAAAAUCAUAGUUAAGUGGGAAACGAUGUGGGAAGGCAUAGACAGCUAGGAGGUUGGCUUANGAAGCAGCCACCCUUUAAAGAAAGCGUAAUAGCUCACUAGUCGAGUCGGCCUGCGCGGAAGAUGUAACGGGGCUAAAACUAUGUGCCGAAGCUGCGGAUUUGACAUUAGUCAAGUGGUAGGGGAGCGUUCUGUAAGCCGAUGAAGGUGUAUUGAGAAGUNGAAGCAGCCACCCUUUAAAGAAAGCGUAAUAGCUCACUAGUCGAGUCGGCCUGCGCGGAAGAUGUAACGGGGCUAAAACUAUGUGCCGAAGCUGCGGAUGUAUACUUUGUAUACGUGGUAGGGGAGCGUUCUGUAAGCCGAUGAAGGUGUGUUGAGAAGCNNNNNNNNAUGCUGGAGGUAUCAGAAGUGCGAAUGCUGACGUGAGUAACGACAAAACGGGUGAAAAACCCGUUCGCCGAAAGACCAAGGGUUCCAGUCCAACGUUAAUCGGGGCUGGGUGAGUCGACCCCUAAGGCGAGGCCGAAAGGCGUAGUCGAUGGGAAAAUGGUUAAUAUUCCAUUACUUCUGUGUAAUGCGAUGAGAGGACGGAGAAGGCUAAAUCAGCCUGGCGUUGGUUGUCCAGGUGAAAGGAUGUAGGCAUGUAUCUUAGGCAAAUCCGGGGUACUCUAUGCUGAGAUCUGAUAGCAAGCUGUACUUGUACAGCGAAGUGGUUGAUGCCAUGCUUCCAGGAAAAGUCUCUAAGCUUCAGUUACACAGGAAUCGUACCCGAAACCGACACAGGUGGUCAGGUCGAGUAGACCAAGGCGCUUGAGAGAACUCUGCUGAAGGAACUAGGCAAAAUGGUACCGUAACUUCGGGAGAAGGUACGCUGUUGUUGGUGAUGGAACUCGCUUCCUGAGCUGACGACAGCCGCAGAAACCAGGCCGCUGCAACUGUUUAUUAAAAACAUAGCACUCUGCAAACACGAAAGUGGACGUAUAGGGUGUGAUGCCUGCCCGGUGCUGGAAGGUUAAUUGAUGGGGUUAGCGUAAGCGAAGCUCUUGAUCGAAGCCCCAGUAAACGGCGGCCGUAACUAUAACGGUCCUAAGGUAGCGAAAUUCCUUGUCGGGUAAGUUCCGACCUGCACGAAUGGCAUAAUGAUGGCGGCGCUGUCUCCAGCAGAGGCUCAGUGAAAUCGAAAUCGCUGUGAAGAUGCAGUGUACCCGCGGCUAGACGGAAAGACCCCGUGAACCUUUACUGCAGCUUGACACUGAACUUUGACCUUACUUGUGUAGGAUAGGUGGGAGGCUUUGAAGCUGGAACGCUAGUUCCAGUGGAGCCGUCCUUGAAAUACCACCCUGGUAAUGUUGAGGUUCUAACUCUGUCCCGUGAUCCGGGACGAGGACCGUGUCUGGUGGGUAGUUUGACUGGGGCGGUCUCCUCCUAAAGAGUAACGGAGGAGUACGAAGGUGCGCUCAGCGUGGUCGGAAAUCACGCGUAGAGUAUAAAGGCAAAAGCGCGCUUAACUGCGAGACCCACAAGUCGAGCAGGUACGAAAGUAGGUCUUAGUGAUCCGGUGGUUCUGUAUGGAAGGGCCAUCGCUCAACGGAUAAAAGGUACUCUGGGGAUAACAGGCUGAUACCGCCCAAGAGUUCAUAUCGACGGCGGUGUUUGGCACCUCGAUGUCGGCUCAUCUCAUCCUGGGGCUGAAGCAGGUCCCAAGGGUAUGGCUGUUCGCCAUUUAAAGAGGUACGCGAGCUGGGUUUAGAACGUCGUGAGACAGUUCGGUCCCUAUCUACCGUGGGCGCUGGAAAUUUGAGAGGAUCUGCUCCUAGUACGAGAGGACCAGAGUGGACGAACCUCUGGUGUACCGGUUGUGACGCCAGUCGCAUCGCCGGGUAGCUAUGUUCGGAAGGGAUAACCGCUGAAAGCAUCUAAGCGGGAAGCCUACCUCAAGAUAAGAUUUCCCUAGGACUUUAUGUCCUCUAAAGAGCCGUUCGAGACUAGGACGUUGAUAGGUUGGAUGUGGAAGCAUAGUGAUAUGUGAAGCUGACCAAUACUAAUUGCUCGUGAGGCUUGACU